RNAcentral lists this ribosomal RNA (528 nucleotides) under Shigella flexneri. RNAcentral's name for it is "bacterial SSU rRNA". It matches the Rfam family "Bacterial small subunit ribosomal RNA", at positions 882 to 1410 of the family's 1533-position model. The record is from RNAcentral. Lineage: Bacteria; Pseudomonadati; Pseudomonadota; Gammaproteobacteria; Enterobacterales; Enterobacteriaceae.
ACGGCCGCAAGGUUAAAACUCAAAUGAAUUGACGGGGGCCCGCACAAGCGGUGGAGCAUGUGGUUUAAUUCGAUGCAACGCGAAGAACCUUACCUGGUCUUGACAUCCACGGAAGUUUUCAGAGAUGAGAAUGUGCCUUCGGGAACCGUGAGACAGGUGCUGCAUGGCUGUCGUCAGCUCGUGUUGUGAAAUGUUGGGUUAAGUCCCGCAACGAGCGCAACCCUUAUCCUUUGUUGCCAGCGGUCCGGCCGGGAACUCAAAGGAGACUGCCAGUGAUAAACUGGAGGAAGGUGGGGAUGACGUCAAGUCAUCAUGGCCCUUACGACCAGGGCUACACACGUGCUACAAUGGCGCAUACAAAGAGAAGCGACCUCGCGAGAGCAAGCGGACCUCAUAAAGUGCGUCGUAGUCCGGAUUGGAGUCUGCAACUCGACUCCAUGAAGUCGGAAUCGCUAGUAAUCGUGGAUCAGAAUGCCACGGUGAAUACGUUCCCGGGCCUUGUACACACCGCCCGUCACACCAUGGGAG